CCUACGGGUGGCAGCAGUGAGGAAUAUUGCUCAAUGGACGAGAGUCUGAACCAGCCAAGUAGCGUGAAGGAUGACUGCCCUAUGGGUUGUAAACUUCUUUUAUAUGGGAAUAAAAUGUUCCACGUGUGGGAUUUUGUAUUUACCAUAUGAAUAAGGAUCGGCUAACUCCGUGCCAGCAGCCGCGGUAAUACGGAGGAUCCGCGUGUUAUCCGGAUUGGUUGGGUUAAAAGGGUGCGUAGGCGGAUCGUUAAGUCAGUGGGCAAAUUGAGGGGCUCAACCCGGUCCCGCAAUUGAAACUGGCGCUCUUGAGUGGAAGAGAAGUAGGCGGAAUGCGUGGUGUAGCGGUGAAAUGCAUAGAUAUCACGCAGAACCCCGAUUGCGAAGGCAGCAUGCCGGCUUCCGACUGACGCUGAAGCACGAAAGCGUGGGGAUCGAACAGGAUUAGAUACCCUUGUAGUC
RNAcentral lists this ribosomal RNA (459 nucleotides) under uncultured bacterium. RNAcentral describes it as "partial 16S ribosomal RNA". It matches the Rfam family "Bacterial small subunit ribosomal RNA", at positions 338 to 795 of the family's 1533-position model. The record is from RNAcentral.